GGCGCUGGAGAAUUGAGGGGGGCUGCUCCUAGUACGAGAGGACCGGAGUGGACGCAUCACUGGUGUUCGGGUUGUCAUGCCAAUGGCACUGCCCGGUAGCUAAAUGCGGAAAAGAUAAGUGCUGAAAGCAUCUAAGCACGAAACUUGCCCCGAGAUGAGUUCUCCCUGAGACUUUAAGUCUCCUGAAGGAACGUUGAAGACGACGACGUUGAUAGGUCGGGUGUGUAAGCGCAGCGAUGCGUUGAGCUAACCGAUACUAAUGAACCGUGAGGCUUAACCUU
This 281-nucleotide ribosomal RNA is filed under the name Enterobacter roggenkampii. Its description in RNAcentral is "partial 23S ribosomal RNA". It matches the Rfam family "Bacterial large subunit ribosomal RNA", at positions 2650 to 2925 of the family's 2925-position model. The record is from RNAcentral. Lineage: Bacteria; Pseudomonadati; Pseudomonadota; Gammaproteobacteria; Enterobacterales; Enterobacteriaceae.